CCUACGGGAUGCAGCAGUGAGGAAUAUUGGUCAAUGGACGAGAGUCUGAACCAGCCAAGUAGCGUGAAGGAUGACUGCCCUAUGGGUUGUAAACUUCUUUUAUAUGGGAAUAAAAUGUUCCACGUGUGCCAUUUUGUAUGUACCUUAUGAAUAAGGAUCGGCUAACUCCGUGCCAGCAGCCGCGGUAAUACGGAGGAUCCGAUCGUUAUCCGGAUUUAUUGGGUUUAAAGGGAGCGUAGGUGGAUUGUUAAGUCAGUUGUGAAAGUUUGCGGCUCAACCGUAAAAUUGCAGUUGAGACUGGCAGUCUUGAGUACAGUAGAGGUGGGCGGAAUUCGUGGUGUAGCGGUGAAAUGCUUAGAUAGCACGAAGAACUCCGAUUGCGAAGGCAGCUCACUAGACUGCAACUGACACUGAGGCUCGAAAGUGUGGGUAUCAAACAGGAUUAGAUACCCUAGUAGUC
Molecule: ribosomal RNA, 460 nt
Filed under: uncultured bacterium
Lineage: Bacteria
Description: partial 16S ribosomal RNA
Rfam family: Bacterial small subunit ribosomal RNA
Source: RNAcentral